This 80-nucleotide transfer RNA is filed under the name Dendronephthya gigantea. RNAcentral describes it as "tRNA-Ser". The stretch from base 4 to 72 matches the Rfam family "tRNA", at positions 7 to 64 of the family's 71-position model. Rfam says of the family: Transfer RNA (tRNA) molecules are approximately 80 nucleotides in length. Their secondary structure includes four short double-helical elements and three loops (D, anti-codon, and T loops). The record is from RNAcentral. Lineage: Eukaryota; Metazoa; Cnidaria; Anthozoa; Malacalcyonacea; Nephtheidae.
GUCGUGGCCGAGUGGUUAAGGCGACAGACUUGAAAUCUGUUGGGAUAUUCCCGCGCAGGUUCAAAUCCUGCCAUACGACU